GACGAACGCUGGCGGCGUGCUUAACACAUGCAAGUCGAACGGAAAGGCCCUGCUUUUGUGGAGUGCUCGAGUGGCGAACGGGUGAGUAACACGUGAGUAACCUGCCCUUGACUUUGGGAUAACUUCAGGAAACUGGGGCUAAUACCGGAUAGGAGCUCCUGCUGCAUGGUGGGGGUUGGAAGGUUUCGGCGGUUGGGGAUGGACUCGCGGCUUAUCAGCUUGUUGGUGGGGUAGUGGCUUACCAAGGCUUUGACGGGUAGUCGGCCUGAGAGGGUGACCGGCCACAUUGGGACUGAGAUACGGCCCAGACUCCUACGGGAGGCAGCAGUGGGGAAUAUUGCACAAUGGGCGGAAGCCUGAUGCAGCAACGCCGCGUGCGGGAUGACGGCCUUCGGGUUGUAAACCGCUUUCGCCUGUGACGAAGCGUGAGUGACGGUAAUGGGUAAAGAAGCACCGGCUAACUACGUG
This 468-nucleotide ribosomal RNA is filed under the name uncultured bacterium. Its description in RNAcentral is "partial 16S ribosomal RNA". It matches the Rfam family "Bacterial small subunit ribosomal RNA", at positions 28 to 507 of the family's 1533-position model. The record is from RNAcentral.